AACGAACGCUGGCGGCAGGCUUAACACAUGCAAGUCGAGCGCCCCGCAAGGGGAGCGGCAGACGGGUGAGUAACGCGUGGGAACGUACCUUUUGGUUCGGAACAACUCCGGGAAACUGGAGCUAAUACCGGAUAAGCCCUAACGGGGAAAGAUUUAUCGCCGAAAGGUCGGCCCGCGUCUGAUUAGCUAGUUGGUGAGGUAACGGCGCACCAAGGCGACGAUCAGUAGCUGGUCUGAGAGGAUGAUCAGCCACACUGGGACUGAGACACGGCCCAGACUCCUACGGGAGGCAGCAGUGGGGAAUAUUGGACAAUGGGCGCAAGCCUGAUCCAGCCAUGCCGCGUGAGUGAUGAAGGCCUUAGGGUUGUAAAGCUCUUUUGUCCGGGAAGAUAAUGACUGUACCGGAAGAAUAAGCCCCGGCUAACUUCGUG
RNAcentral lists this ribosomal RNA (431 nucleotides) under uncultured bacterium. RNAcentral's name for it is "partial 16S ribosomal RNA". It matches the Rfam family "Bacterial small subunit ribosomal RNA", at positions 29 to 507 of the family's 1533-position model. The record is from RNAcentral.